RNAcentral lists this transfer RNA (73 nucleotides) under Stegodyphus mimosarum. It matches the Rfam family "tRNA". Rfam says of the family: Transfer RNA (tRNA) molecules are approximately 80 nucleotides in length. Their secondary structure includes four short double-helical elements and three loops (D, anti-codon, and T loops). The record is from Rfam by way of RNAcentral. Lineage: Eukaryota; Metazoa; Arthropoda; Arachnida; Araneae; Eresidae.
GCUUUCAUGGUGUAGAGGUCAGCACUCUCGACGCGUAACCAAGAGGUCCGUGGUUCGAGUCCCGGCGAAAGCG